AAAAAUAUACAGGCUUUCCACUGGUAUAGAAUCUCAUACUAAGAAGCACUGUGACAAGUAAAUAUUCAAGUAUACACAAAUUUCCUCAUUUCUGUGCUAGGUUUAUAUUGUUACAUGAUACUGAAACACACCUGUGAGAUAAUCAGAAAUAUUAAGCAGUGGUAGACAACAGAGAAACCAGGAAUUAAUCAAGUUUCAGUGGCCAUGUAACUCCACGUAGCUCCCAGAGUGCUGCUGGUAAGGGCUGAAAGGACUUCCUGCUGGUGAGUAUGUUUUAGUGGGCUCGCUGCUGUGGUUUAUUACAGCAGAAUCUCCCCAGGGAUUCAGCUGAUGGCAAACAUCAAAGCUUCGCCUGCCAUAUUAGAACAGCAACGAUGUGGGUGGAGGUCAUCUCCAAUGAAUUCCGCCUCAUAUAUGGGACAAACGCCUGCAGCACGUCGCUUGGAUGCUCAUUAUCAAUUCAUGGAGCAUUUGAAGACACACAGUCUCUCUGUAAAUUCUAUUUUUUCACUGUCUUUUAAGAGAGCUCAUUUUUUUAGCCUGAAUUUUGACAAUUCAAACUUCCGCUCAAUGACAAGCUUCGAGUCCCACGCUGGAAAAAGGUCCCAUGUGUUUGAAGCAUCUAGGCCGCUCCAUCUUUUUGAUCAGCAGCUCGGCUGUGAAUUGUGCAGAUCAGAAAGUGGAUCAGAGGCUCCCUGGGGACUGCCAUUUAUGCCUGCCACAAGCACAAGAUAGAAAACGUAAUUAAGAGUUUGUUAAGAUGCCCAAAUUCCUUCUCAUUUCCAUCCGCCUCCCAUCCCUCCUUCUCCUGCUCCCAGUAGCUCUGAUCUCGCCUCAGAUUAAAACUCUCUUUCCUCGAGAAUACAGAGCUACGGAGCCAAAGAGGGGAGCCGCAUCUCGAGCCACACAGGCUGAUUAUCUUAAAGAGUAAUUAGCAAGUGUGACAGUGCUCUGUGUCGACAUGAUGGAGAUGGAUUAUUUUGACUGUGGUGUACACAGGCUCCUUUGAAAAGCAUAAGAAAGAGGAGUGCAUGUGCUGCAUGUGUGUUAAUUAUCAGUGUCACUCAAUCUUUAUGUAUGUCUUAACGUGCUUGAUAGUAAUUACUGUUCAUGUAUGUGUAUGUAUCAUUGUCAUUCAGGCAGUCAGCAAGCAACUUCAAACCUCCGCAAGGCAGCAAUUAUCCCCUCAACAAUAUGCAGCUUGGGCUUAGUACACUCUGUGUGAGAUUUGAUGCUGAAUGCUAAUUCAUCUAGAGGUUGAUUGUUACUUCUGUGGGGGGAGGACAAGAUUGGAAAAACACUUGCCUUUUCCGCUACUGGGUCCAUUAGUAUGAGAAUAAUUCAUUUUUUAUUAGCAUUACUGGUGACAGUAACAGGGAAAAAAUCUAAAGCAAUGGAUGUAAAGCUAGAUGAGGUGCUUAGAAAAUGCUUUGUUUUCCUUCCUCCCUUGAACCUGUUGGACACAUUGGAAAAAGAUAAAGUUAUUAAAGUAAUUUCAAAUAUAAUGAUGUAAGGAAAUGUGGAGGGAUAUCACAAUCAGGAGCUUUUGUCAUUUAAAAAGGACCCGUUCGCCAAGUCUCAAGGCUAUGCAUCAUUAAAAUCAGUGUCAUGUACAUCAGGAAAAUAACACUGCAUCCCAUCAGUAGGCUAUUACAUGGCCUAUGCUAGGACUUUGUGUAAUACCACCAGUGACCAGUGAUGUUCAAGAUUCUGUAGUCUCUUUUAUCCAUUUUUGAUAACAUCCAGAGAUAUAUUAUUUUAGGUCACUAAUAAGGUUGUUAGGAAAAUGCUUAACCUCUCUGUAACAGUAUUGCAAGCUGUGGUUUUCUUUAACAUAAUUAUUAGUGGUGUCAAAAUUGGUUUGCUGAGUGUGAUGACAAAAAUCGGAUGUAGACUUCCUCACAGUUUCCUCACAGACUCAAUGAUUAAAAAAAGGCUUCAUUAGGACCCCAAGCCUAUACCUGGGAGAAAGAAGACUACUUCCAACCAAAUUUAUGAAGUAGUCACAUUAGAUUCUUGGCAAAAUAACAUGCCAGUGAAGGCAAGCACCUCUAAGCUACCUAGGCUUCUCACAAGUCAACGACUGCAGCAUUUAGCAUCCUGCAACAAUUCCUGAUUACAGAAAUGGAGUUUAUAUAAUGGUGCAACACAGUGACAGUAGCAGUUUUGGUUAUAUGGAAGGACUGCAUGCAUUACCCACUACUUCACAAUUACUUACUAACCUGGGAUUUUAAUUGCCUUCCUAGUGGCUCAAAUGUGUAGUAGCACUGGUUUACCUGUAAUCUCACCCCAUCUCAGUCUUGAUACAAGUCACACUGAGACAGCAAGAGGGUGUUUCAGACCUGGUGUGAAGGUUUCUGUGAAGGCAGCUGACUGGAACUUUUAUGUAUGGCAGGGAACCUGUAUAUUAACCAAGGAACAUUUUCAGUGAGCUUAUAACCAUGAGAGUAAUUUAAAUGGAAGAAUUAUUAAAGAAGGUAUGUGACUCAGUAAUCGGGUAGACUCUUUAGUGCUGUCUGGCUUCUAGCCACUCUCUUUAGCCUCAGGGACAUUUUCUUGUAGAACUCAUGCUGACAUGCCAAAACAACAACAACAACAAAAAAAACAGAUCAAUGAAAAUGAGCGAGUGUGAGAAAGAAAAAAAGAGUGUUGAACGAAAGGAGCUCAGAUUAACAAGUACAGCAUUAGAACGUUCUACAUAUUUUAAAGGCACAAGCCUCACCUUAAACAUGGGUGUAAAUAUGCUGUUAUUUACUUUUGUAUUCAAAACUGUUAAAUUAGUAAAACAAAGAAAUUGUGAAAUUAAUAUUUUAAAACAACUUUACAGGUAAAUAUUUUAUACUGGAUAUUUCUUUAUUAUUGUUUUGUCAUGGCUGGUGUGGUGGAGAAGCCCAGAAUGCAGAUGAGUAGGAAGCUUCCUAAUGUAUAAGAAGAUUUAAUAAAUUAAACUCACUCCAGCAGGUGGUGGCAAAAACAGGCUUAGCAUGAACAGGACAGACUUGGCAAUACAGGCUUUGCAUGACCAGAGUGAUCACAGAGUGAAUGUUUCCAUGAGGAGUAAACAGAACAAAGGUGUAUAUAUGGAGCAUGGUAAAGGUGAACCGAGAAGACUGACUACAUGAUGCAGGUGGACUGAAUGAAGCUGAUUGCUAUGAUUGACAGAGACAGGGAGAAGCUAAACAUAACUGGGCAAAACAGAGAUCCAAAGAUACAAAACUGAUUGGGAAAACAUGAUGUACAGAACAUGAACAAGACUAAGAAACUAAAGCCCAGCCAGAAAAACACAAGCAAGACCCAAAAACGUAAACUGGAAAUAAGAAUAACUAAAACCCAAACAAAAACCAUAACACCCUCAAAUCAUGACAUGUUUAUACUAGUUGAUAAUGUAGUUUUUGAAUAUCCUCUCUGCACCAGUCACAGCUUUAUUCCCUUAUUAGUUAUGUACAGUGGCUUUAAGAGUUUACACACUCCUGGUAAAGUGCAAUUUUUUUGCUGUCAAGAAUCCAGAUGUGUGCUGUCUGUAUUUUGCUUCUGUGUUCCGGAGAGAGGUUCCAUUGGUGGACGGAGCUGAGCUGCUGCGGUGGUCACACCGGUGGUCACACCUGCAAUUCAUCAGAAGAGGUUCUGUUGGUGGGCGGAGCUGAGCUGCUGGGGUGAUCGCACCUCCAUUUCAUCGGGCUUGUCAUUGGAGUUUAAGAGGAGCUGGCUGACGGGCAUUUGACUGUCAACUCUAGUGGUUCCUGGUUCUUCUCCUAGAUGAAGUUCAAGUACUCUGGCUCAGUUCAGCAGAACAAUAACCUCCUGGAUCUCUGUUUUCACGUCCGGCACACCCAAGCCUAGUCGUCAGCUCCUUCCUCAGGAAAGACCUGUCCGCCCUCCAAUGAAUUAAUCCUCACCCUGCUGCUCAGACAGCCAGCAUGGACUCCAUUAUCUCCCCCUAGCCUGGAUCAUCACCUUCAUUAAUAAGCCCAACAACCAGACUCAUUCUUAUCAUUCACACCACUGUUCAACCUACUCACCAAUUUUGUCUCCUUCCUCCACUGGCUUGCCAUACCUGAACCAGAUCAGAAUCUACUAUAUAUACAUAUAAAAUAUAAAAUAAAGAAGAGAUACUGAAUUUGAAUCAAAGGUAUUUGCUGCUAUGCAGAUAUCUCUGAUGUUGAAGCUCUUGCUUGUCAUCUCAUGAUCCACACCUUGAUGCGCCACAGCUUGAUGCCAGUCUGGAUGAAAAAUGUUUAACCCAAAUCCUAGACAUUUUAGCUCACACAUCCAUGUCUUGCAUGCAAAAACAAUCAGAAAUGGCUAAGAAGCUUUGAAAGAUGUCUUAUGUUUUUUGAACCAAAGAACAGAUUUCCAUUCAUAACAAAGUCAUCUCAAUUUUCCAGACUGAAAAAAAUUUAUUCUGGUUCGUAUAAAUAUUGUUCAAUUCAUCCAUCCUUCCCACUGAUCCUGGAAGGGUAGUGGGGGGUUGGCCACUAAGUCCAGCAGUCAUUAAGAGGAGGGGUACAGCUCGGACAGGUCUGUCUAAUUUAUGAUGAUCAAUAAACCAUGGACUAAUAAAUUAUGUCUGAACAUUCAGUCUCCCAAAAGUUUUUCAUCGGUAUAAGAGACAUUUUGGUUUCAGUGUACCGAACAACAGACGGUU
This is a long non-coding RNA of Girardinichthys multiradiatus, 4645 nucleotides long. RefSeq lists it as uncharacterized. The record is from RefSeq and is a predicted model, not a curated record. The transcript has 3 exons. Lineage: Eukaryota; Metazoa; Chordata; Actinopteri; Cyprinodontiformes; Goodeidae.